This is a long non-coding RNA of Peromyscus eremicus (cactus mouse), 1174 nucleotides long. RefSeq lists it as uncharacterized. The record is from RefSeq and is a predicted model, not a curated record. Lineage: Eukaryota; Metazoa; Chordata; Mammalia; Rodentia; Cricetidae. The transcript has 3 exons.
UUGAUCCAGCUGGGAUCUCCCACUCACCCAAGCUCUCUUUCCCUCGACCCUCGCCCUUCCCUACCCCCAAUCAUGUCCAGGCUGUUCAUGUAGAUCUCAUUCCAUUUCUCUGUCAUUGGGCGAUCCCUGUGUCUUUCUUGGGGUCCUGUUUUCCAGGUAGCCUGCCUGGUGAUGUGGUAUGUACUCACUCAUAACAGGAUACUAGAUGUGGAACAAGGAUGACCAUUUCUUUCUUGACGUUUUACAUUGAGGUUGAAGGUCAGCUUUCUUCAGUCACUCUCUUGUCUCUCUACCCUCUCCAUUCUCUUUCUGAUUUAGAAUCUUCAGUACGCCAUCAUGUUCAUCAGUAAAUGGUGAAGGCACUGAAUAAACUUCCCAAGGACAGUGGGUGUUGCCACAACAUAAGUGACAUCACAGAGGAUGCCAGGGCUCUCCAGGAUACAAUAGAAUGUUUCGGGAAGAGCUGCAGAUGUCAUAGGAACUGAGAUUGCUAAGAGCUUUCCUUACACUAGAUGUCAAGUUGUCCUUUGCAGGAGCCUCUGCUGGGAUACAAGGGAAGCCCUUCAGCAUCCCCUUCAUCCAAAGCCAGAGAUCUCUCCCUGAUUGAUUGAACAUCCUCCAGUUCUUUCCCUGUGUAGAACUGAAUCUUUAUCUCCUACUGAAAUUUUAUGUACACAAGGACAUGAAACAGGCCCUUUUGAGCUACAUGAAAGGUUAUCCAAGGAGAAUAAGGUAUGAAAUAGCCACAGGUUCGAACUUUGCUGACAGACUCAUCCAAGCAUCAGUUGUUAAUGACAACCUGCUCCAUGUGACUAUGAGCCCUGAACUUCAUGAAAGCUGAUAUAAACUAAUCCAACUGAUGCAAAUACUGUUUCUUCAACUGGUCAAUGAACCAGAAGUUUCUAAAUAGCCUCCUUAACUUUGACUAACGUUCUAACCUUCCAAGGCCCUGACAAUGUCUGGGACAAGGUCAGAAUCUCUAAGGACAGGCAACUAGAUCAUCUUAUAGUCAGGUUGCCUAGCCACAGGACAUUGAGGCAGAGCCCUUGACACUUUCACCCUGUAAACAUCCUAUACAAACAUCCUGUUAGCCUGCCUCACCUUAUGCAAAUAACAGCUUCUUGCUCGCCCCACCCUGCAGGAACUAUAUAAACUCUCUUGGAGAAAAAUAAAG